AUCUGAGGCGGAUGACGGGGAGUAGCGACCCCGCGGGGCUAUAUAUCCGAGUGCUCCAGGGAGAGUAUACUGUCCCCCAUCUCCGGCUUGCCGGAGUGAAGCAUGACGGGGGAUAGGUCUCCCGCCUCUUGGCUUGCCUUCACCGGCCGGUCAGAGUGGAGUCGCUAGAGCAAUGCUCGGAGGGUAGGUGCCUCGUGGUAAGUGGCGAGUGGGCCGGUGAUGCUGGACCCACAGGGAGCGCGUGAUCUGCGUUUAAAGUCCGCCGAGGUAUCCUCACCCUUCUCAGCCGCUCAUGUACCUGUUGCCCUCUUGUUGCUUUUCAGUGACUGAUUCCCGGGGGCCCAGUAAGUGAGUUGGCGAGUCUCCACCUGCCAUUUUUACGUGUAUUUAUUACAUUGUUAUCGGCAGGUGCCAUAGUUCCCGUAGUUUCCCCAUUCCUAGUCCAUUAGCAUCCCAUCACAAUAGCCCAAGUAGUUUUCAUCCAUAGUUAGCAAUAGUUUAGCACAGAACCGGGGAUUGUCCUUGGGUACAUUUCUAUAGUGUAUACAGGGAUAAUCGUCGGUUUUGUGUCACCAUUUCAUUAAAGUUGUCUCAAAAGGGCUUCAGCGUGUUGGCUUCGGCCCCACGUUCGCCUCCCAAAAAUCCGGGACUCUAUAGUCCCGAGGUCUGGAAGAGACAUACAUUUAUAAUAAUAAUAAGCCCCGCAGGGCAUCUGAGGCAGAUGACGGGGAGUAGCGACCCCGCGGGGCUAUAUAUCCGAGUGCUCCAGGGAGAGUAUACUGUCCCCCAUCUCCGGCUUGCCGGAGUGAAGCAUGACGGGGGAUAGGUCUCCCACCUCUUGGCUUGCCUUCAUCGGCCGGUCAGAGUGGAGUCGCUAGAGCAAGGUUAGUCCUGCUCGGAGGGUAGGUGCCUCGUGGUAAGUGGCGAGUGGGCCGGUGAUGCUGGACCCACAGGGAGCGCGUGAUCUGCGUUUAAAGUCCGCCGAGGUAUCCUCACCCUUCUCAGCCGCUCAUGUCCCUGUUGCCCUCUUGUUGCUUUUCAGUGACUGAUUCCCGGGGGCCCAGUAAGUGAGUUGGCGAGUCUCCACCUGCCAUUUUAACAUGUAUUUAAUAGAUACAUUGUCAUCGGCAGGUGCCAUAGUUCCCGUAGUUUCCCCAUUCCUAGUCAAUUAGCAUCCCAUCACAAUAGCCCAAGUAGUUUUCAUCCAUAGUUAGCAAUAGUUUAGCACAGAACCGGGGAUUGUCCUCGGGUACAUUUCUAUAGUGUAUACAGGGAUAAUCGUCGGUUUUGUGUCACCAUUUCAUUAAAGUUGUCUCAAAAGGGCUUCAGCGUGUUGGCUUCGGCCCCACGUUCGCCUCCCAAAAAUCCGGGACUCCAUAGUCCCGAGGUCUGGUAGAGACAUACAAAAUAAUAAU
This is a long non-coding RNA of Helicoverpa armigera (cotton bollworm), 1415 nucleotides long. RefSeq lists it as uncharacterized. The record is from RefSeq and is a predicted model, not a curated record. The transcript is spliced from 2 exons. Lineage: Eukaryota; Metazoa; Arthropoda; Insecta; Lepidoptera; Noctuidae.